AUGAAGAUGAACUUCAUCCUACAUGGCCCAGUUAUAAUGAUGUAUACUGAUCUAUUCUUCAUCUACUCAGGCCAUAAUGAGAUUAAGAAUCAGAUGGAAAGGGAGCGAGAGGUAACAGAGGAGAGACAGGUCAAAGUGGACCAAGAACAUCUAGAUCUAUUCAGUUGUUUGAACAAUGAGCAACUAGCUUGUUUCAAUGACAUAAUGGAUCAUGUGACAAACCCAAAAAUCCAGAUAUUCUUUGUUGACGGUCCAGGAGGCACUGGGAAGACGUACCUGUACAAGGCAUUGUCUGCAAAGGUCCGUUCGAUGGGCCUAAUAGCGAUCGCAACUGCUACAUCCGGUAUAGCGUCUGACAUUGUGAUUGCUUAUACCGAUGAUGAAGAACCUAUUAACAAGCUUAUCGAAGAUGUCUUCCCAUCCCUGCACACCAAUGCUAGGUCGAGAGAGUACAUGAGCAGCACACGUGCAAUUCUCUCGACCAAAAACGAGCAUGUGGAUGACCUGAAUGACAAGAUGAUCUCCAAGUUUCCAGGCGAAGAAAAGGUGUACCAUAGCUUUGGCUAUAUCGAGGAUGACUUCCAGAAUAAUUACACGAUUGACUUCCUGAACUCGAUCACACCAAAUGGGUUGCCCCCGCAUGUCUUGAGAGUAAAAAUCAACUGCCCGGCCAUUUUGCUACGGAACCUCGACCCUCAUAAUGGGCUAUGUAAUGGAACACGGCUUAUGAUCAGGGCCUUCCAGGAUAAUGCAAUUGAUGCAUAG
Molecule: ribosomal RNA, 765 nt
Filed under: Triticum aestivum (bread wheat)
Lineage: Eukaryota; Viridiplantae; Streptophyta; Magnoliopsida; Poales; Poaceae
Description: partial small subunit ribosomal RNA
Source: RNAcentral